This 1951-nucleotide long non-coding RNA is filed under the name Salvia miltiorrhiza (redroot sage). RNAcentral describes it as "long non-coding RNA (SMIL_LNC002705)". The record is from RNAcentral. Lineage: Eukaryota; Viridiplantae; Streptophyta; Magnoliopsida; Lamiales; Lamiaceae.
AAAAACAGCAAAUGCAGUUCACACCCCAUUUAUAUCUAUAUGAGUGAAUCUUUUCGAAAUUUUGGCCUUUGCAAAGCUGCUUUGUUUCGGAUUGUUGAUGAUCAGAAGAUAAAACAGACAAGGAGGAAAAAGGAGAAGAGAAGGAAUCUCUUGUUUAUACUAGUUUUAUAUUCAAAAGUUGUGAGUUUUUUUUAUUUGUGGUUUGAUUCUUGUAUUAGCUGUCUUACUUUUGGCUGAAUCUAGUGGUAGUUUAGUACUAAUUAUUUUUAUGUGUGUCUGAAAACAGUUGUUGAAGUGAGCUAGUGAGAUAUUAUGAUAUAGAUUCCUUUGUAGCUUAGGUUCCUAUCAAUAAAAUAUUUUCAAGAAUUCAGAGAGAAAAAAAUGCGAAGGCUCAUUUCUUUUCCAUUUCUUAAUUUGUAUGCUUUAAAAACAGGCAUGAUCGAUCAAUGAAACUAUGUGUUUGUUUGUUCUUUUGUGAAGCAAAUAUGUGUUUUUCUUACAUAAAUUUGGCUCCAUCUGUUUUUACAGUUUCUCUGUUCAGUGACUCUCUCUUUUUCUUGUGUGAAUGUUGAGGUCGUAAAUUGAGGCCGAUCAUCUGCGGCAGCCUACGCGACAAGCAGCCAACGGAUUGGUUGCGUUCGGGGAGUAUUUUCAGCGUCUGGUCCGCCCGUUGCCCGGGCGAACCGGCAUGAUCGAAGCAGCAUUAGGUAGAUGUGCUGUAAAUGAGAUAAAUCUUGUAGUAUUUGCUUAGGUGAGUAUCAAUUUACAAUCCAACUCUUGAUUUAAUUUUUUUUUGCUGCUUCUUUGAUAUGUGGCUGCGUACAUAUUGGUUAAAGUUAUGGUUGUUGACGACUUAUUUGAAAUGUACUUGAGAAAGUAGUAAGUAUUAUAUAUGAUUGAGGGCAUGAAUAUAUAAGCCCUUAGGCACGAGUAUGAUCUCUUUUCUAUCUAAAUUUAUCUUGCAAUUUAUAUUACAUUGUUGAGAUGUUCUCUGGUAAACCCAGUUUUUUUGUAAAAUCAGAUUUCACAGGAUCCAUAUAGGAUCAGGGUCAUUGGAUACAGAUCAGGUAGAAAUCGGUUUUAUUGUAAAACCAGUUUUACAGUAGUAUUUGUGUAUAAUAUUUGACUACAAGGAAAGAAAAUAAGAUAAAAUAGCGUCCCAAAUAAUAAUAAUAAUAAUAAUCUUAAUUGGUUAUAGUGAAUUUUUGAAGAAGAAAAAAAGUAGAUAGAAAAGCUGCAGUUAUUAUUACAAAUAAUUGUAAUUUUCAUCCCUCAUGAAAUUCGAAUUCAAUAGAAUAUAGGGACUUCAUACAUAUACUACAAUAUUCUCACGUUUCUCAUAAAAAAUAAAGGUUCUCAUUUAAGCUUCUUUCAAAUUAUAUAUGUUGUAUGUAUAAGUAAUCUAUAUUAUGUAUAUAACUAUUAAUAUUUGUGUGUUUUUUAUAAUAUUUUUUUACAUACUGAUGUAUUCUUUUACUCGUAUAUACAUUGAUAAAAGCCAAACCCCUAACUACUCUCAAAAACUAGCUCAAGAGUAUAGAUUUGAACUCAACCUUAUAUCUAACCCAAGAGACUUAACUAGUUUAUCUCCUGACAUCAUAUUCGAAUGUUAUUGCACGACAACAGAAAUAGCUCUCAUACAUAUAACUGGUAACUACCUAUGCAGAGAAGCCAAAAUAAUGUGGAAAAAUAAAAUAUAUUCUUUUCUUGUAUAACAGAAGUUAGCAAAAUAUUAUUCAGUCAAUUGCCCUUCACAAGUGAGACUCAUUGAGCUAAUGCUGCAAAGAAAAAAUCGGAGGAAAAAGUGUUUAUCAUUUGCUGUAGUCAGCUGUUUCUAUCUCACUCUAAGCUUUUACAAGCAGCAGAAUGCUCAUCCACAAUGAGGUUGAUCAGCGGCUCCUCCACGUCAGCAUCAGCCCGAGUUCUGUCUCGUUGGACCACAAUAUUUCCA